RNAcentral lists this ribosomal RNA (540 nucleotides) under Triticum aestivum (bread wheat). RNAcentral describes it as "partial small subunit ribosomal RNA". Lineage: Eukaryota; Viridiplantae; Streptophyta; Magnoliopsida; Poales; Poaceae. The record is from RNAcentral.
AUGAUAUACGCAACCCACAUUCCCAAGAGGGAACGGAAGCGUGCACUAAGGGACGUCUAUGCGAUGGAGCCCGUCGCCCCAAAGUUCAACCCAUGGUCCGCUUCUCCAAUCACCUUCGAUCGCAGGGACCACCCCACUAGUAUCCGUCAUGGCGGAUCCGCUGCACUGGUCCUAGACCCCAUCAUCGACGAAUUUCACCUCACUCGAGUCCUUAUGGACGGCGGCAGCAGCCUGAACCUGCUCUAUCAGGAUACAGUGCGCAAAAUGGGUAUAGAUCCCUCGAGGAUCAAACCCACCAAAACCACCUUUAAGGGCGUUAUACCAGGUGUAGAGGCCCAUUGCACGGGCUCAAUCACACUGGAAGUGGUCUUCAGAUCUCUAGACAACUUCCGAAGCGAGGAGUUGAUCUUCGAUAUCGUCCCGUUCCGCAGUGGCUAUCACACACUACUCGGGCGAACCGCAUUUGCAAAAUUCAAUGCGGUACCGCAUUACGCAUACCUCAAGCUCAAGAUGCCAGGACCUAGGGGGGGGGGGUCAUAA